Molecule: small RNA, 577 nt
Filed under: Histoplasma capsulatum var. duboisii H88
Lineage: Eukaryota; Fungi; Ascomycota; Eurotiomycetes; Onygenales; Ajellomycetaceae
Description: Histoplasma capsulatum H88 hypothetical RNA
Source: RNAcentral
CCGCAGGUUCAUAACAGUAUGCACUAAUCAAUUUUGCUAAGGUAUCUUUUUGUCACUUGGCAGGCAUGUGUGGCUGGGAGAUACUCAGAGGGGACUGGGCAUGGAUGUGUUGGAACAUGAAACUUGAUCAGAAUUUUCUCAAACAAAAAAUUAAGGAUACUGCAAGCAAUUAAGAAUCAAAUUGGUUAAGAUUUUGAUAGAUUGUAGAAGCAACUGAGAUCUAUCUUUUAUCAAAUUUUGAGCUGAUUUGGCUCAGAAUUGAUCAAGUUGUUUGAUGAAAGAUAGGGAUUCUGCUGCAGCAGGCACCCAAACACCUUUUCUCAAAUAUCUCUCAAAUCUUGGUCAAUUUUGUUCAAAUUUGAAGCAGUCAUCGAUGGAGGCAGUAGGAAUCAAUUGAGAGCAUUAUCAUUCUUUGAUUCGAAGAAUUGGGCUCGUUCAGGGAAAGGCUUGUUGUUUUUUGUGUAAUUGCAGAACUUUUGUAGAAUAUUCUUGACUGUUUGUAUCAUUCUCUUGAUAGCUUCAUCUGUUUCUGAGUGAUAUGCUGUUGACAAUUUUCACUCAAUUCUUAGUAGCUGAC